Long non-coding RNA from Oxyura jamaicensis (ruddy duck), 1078 nucleotides. RefSeq lists it as uncharacterized. The transcript has 4 exons. The record is from RefSeq and is a predicted model, not a curated record. NCBI's taxonomy places the organism in Eukaryota, Metazoa, Chordata, Aves, Anseriformes, Anatidae.
CCCUCCCUGCCUGCCUCUCCGGCAGGCGCACACCCGCAUUCGCACACACGGACACACGGACACACGGACACACAGACACACACACACACCCGCACCCCCAGCGCUGCGGAUGCCGGAGCCGCCGCCCCGGGGCCGGGAUGCUCGGAGCGGGCCGGGCUCAGCGAGUGGAGGCGGUGGGAGGGCGCAGGGGGGGUCGUACCCUGCCGACCCCCCUUUUUUUCCAGCCCCCCGAGCGGCUCCUGCUCCCCCCGCGGGGACAAGUGCGGCGGGCAGGGGGCGCGGGAGGACCCCGGCCGCCAGGGGCUGGACGCGAGGGGUCGCGAGGGGUGGCGGCUGCCUGCCGGCACCGUUUGCACCCAAAAAAAAGGAGCCCCGAGCGGCUGAGCUGCGCUCAGUCCCUGCAAGACGCACGGCAAAUGUCGCCCCAAGUGCGGCUUUCCGCUCCUCGCCUCCCAGCGCCUCUUCCCGGCCUUAGCUUUGACCUUUAUCGUCUCCUUUCCUCCCUCGCUAGCCCAUCGUAAGCCUUCGGGUAUUUUUUUUUCCCCUCUCUUCUUCCUCCCACCUCCCGCAGUCUGUGCUGGCUGAACGUCUUAAGGAUGGCUCUGCGCUGGCUCUAAGCCACCUUUGUGUCCUCCUGCUCCUGGACCGUUUCAAGGCUUUUAGCGUGAUUUAAGCGCUGCGAGCACCACAAGUUCAGGUGCUUCACAAGGGGAAAACUGGCCAUGCAUUUCAUCCUCUUUGAAAUCUGCAAGGAGUAGAGACAUAAUCAAUAGAAAAAGAGAAGAUCAGGAAUAUUACAGUGAAAAGAGGAGUAUGAACAGCAAUUUGACUGUCAACAGGCAUCAGUAUUGAUGUGUGCGAGUGAAGCAUGGCAAGGCAAAGAUCAAAGGGGGAGGAUAACUGAAACCACGCAUCUGUGAAUGACAAGUCAGCGUUUUCUGAACAAACUUCUGAGAGCAUCACGACUUCAAGUGCAGGCCUCUGUAAUGCGAAGAAAGAUGAGUCUAGGUGAAGAUCUAACAAAGGUAGAAAAGUUUUCUGUCACAAAUAGUGCCUCUGAAAAUUCACUGGAAAUAGC